This is a non-coding RNA of Theobroma cacao (cacao), 160 nucleotides long. NCBI's taxonomy places the organism in Eukaryota, Viridiplantae, Streptophyta, Magnoliopsida, Malvales, Malvaceae. The record is from RefSeq and is a predicted model, not a curated record.
GAGGAAUUCACCAAAUUUCAAGGAAUCAAGCCAUCAAAGGUGGUGAAUCCUUCGAAAAAGGGCAAAGAAAUUACACCUGAGGAUCAAUAGUCGGAGUACUCAAAAAUUCAAACUCUUGAUACAGCUCAGGAUAGUCGGUAGAUAGCUCACUUUGUUGAGG